Molecule: ribosomal RNA, 460 nt
Filed under: uncultured bacterium
Lineage: Bacteria
Description: partial 16S ribosomal RNA
Rfam family: Bacterial small subunit ribosomal RNA
Source: RNAcentral
CCUACGGGGGGCAGCAGUGAGGAAUAUUGGUCAAUGGACGAGAGUCUGAACCAGCCAAGUAGCGUGAAGGAUGACUGCCCUAUGGGUUGUAAACUUCUUUUAUAUGGGAAUAAAAUGUUCCACGUGUGGGACUUUGUAUGUACCAUAUGAAUAAGGAUCGGCUAACUUCGUGCCAGCAGCCGCGGUAAGACGGAGGAUCCGAGCGUUAUCCGGAUUUAUUGGGGUUAAAGGGAGCGUAGGUGGAUUGUUAAGUCAGUUGUGAAAGUUUGCGGCUCAACCGUAAAAUUGCAGUUGAAACUGGCAGUCUUGAGUACAGUAGAGGUGAGCGGAAUUCGUGGUGUAGCGGUGAAAUGCUUAGAUAUCACGAGGAACUCCGGUUGCGAAGGCAGUUCACUGGACUGCAACUGACACUGAGGCGCGAAAGUGUGGGUAGCAAACAGGAUUAGAUACCCCUGUAGUC